RNAcentral lists this long non-coding RNA (406 nucleotides) under Physcomitrium patens. RNAcentral's name for it is "long non-coding RNA (PPAT_LNC014313)". Lineage: Eukaryota; Viridiplantae; Streptophyta; Bryopsida; Funariales; Funariaceae. The record is from RNAcentral.
GAAGGUCGUGGUUGCGCAAAGCUUAGGACCAGCAUCGGCUGGUGAGUCCCCGCCGCCUCUGAACCAUUCCCCGCCUCCGCAGAACCACCCGCCUCCAGCUGCUAGCAACUCUCCACCCCCCGCGAACAUCCCACCUCCACCGCACCAUUCUCCUCCGCCUCCACCACCACCACCGCACUCAUCCCCUCCACCCACUCCAGCUUCCUCACCUCCUCCGCCUCCUCCCACGGAUAUCAGCCCGCCAUCUCCACCAAACCAACUGACGAAUCCUCCGCCUCCACCUCCACCAGCACCUGCAAACAAAACCAGUCACGCUCAUCCUGCGAAAACAGCUGGUGCUCCUUCGGCAUCAACUCUCCUGCCGCCAACCCCUUCUACAGACACCGCUCCAUCGCCGUCAGAGUCC